This 1282-nucleotide long non-coding RNA is filed under the name Gossypium barbadense (sea-island cotton). RNAcentral's name for it is "long non-coding RNA (GBAR_LNC022097)". The stretch from base 296 to 499 matches the Rfam family "MIR159 microRNA precursor family". The record is from RNAcentral. Lineage: Eukaryota; Viridiplantae; Streptophyta; Magnoliopsida; Malvales; Malvaceae.
AUCUUCGUAGAGGAAAUUAACAGUGUUCUAAAUUCUGGGUUUCCCUUGUUCCAUUAUAUCUUCAUGCUUGUCACUUCUUGUAGGUUAAGUAGUGCUCUUCUGCUUGUUUUGAUUUGAAAGGUUUUUGGAUCUGAUGAUUUUAACCCUCGUCUGCUGAGCCUUAUCUAUACAUAUAUGUAACAAAUAAGGUUGAGAGAUUCAAUCUUGUCACCAUAACUAGGGUUUCUUUUUCCUUCUUUUUGGCCGUUUUUUCUAGGUUUAGGCAAAGGAGAGAUUUACUGAUGGUUAAAGGUGAGACAAAGGGGUGGAGCUCCUUGAAGUCCAAUAGAGGGUCUUGCAGGGUAUAUAGAGCUGCUGAGCUAUGGAUCCCUAAAGCUCUAUCCCAUAUAUAUAACUUUUAAAAGAAGGGAUAGACUUUUGGCUUGCAUAUCUCAGGAGCUGCAUUACCAAAAAUGUCAGAUCCUUGUUUGGAUUGAAGGGAGCUCUACACUUAGUCACUGAUCUUUGUUUUUAGUAGCCAUGAUCUGAUUUAACUUUAUAGAACCCGUUCAUGGUUUUGCUUUGAAUAUUGCAAGUUGAUUAUUUGAUUUUCUUUUUUGAAGUAUAUGCAGGAGGAGGGUGAAGACAUUGAAAGGGGCAGAGAUGGUGUCAGAAUAUCUUGUGCUUAGAUUUUUUGGUUGUCUAAACUAUUUUUAGAGAGAGAGAGGGGAGUUAGGGCCUUUAUUGUACCUUUAUUUUUUUAAAGUAUAUAUGGUUUUUGCUUUUAUUCUUCAAAUAUUGUUGGUGUUUUGUGAAUUGCAAUCUAUGUUUGUGUAUGAGCUGCAAAGUUUAUUAUUGUAUUUUAAUUUUAUAUCAUCACAUAAAUAUUAUAUAUAGUUUAAAAGUUUUAAAUAAUAAUGUUAAACAAGUUUAGAGUAUGAUGUUAUUACAUGAAUUAAAAUAAAAAAUUGUUGAGUGUUAAUUUAAUUAAAAUAGGUAUUUUGAUUUGUGAUUGAAAUAUUAAAAUACUAACUUCAAGGAGCAAUCUUCUGAUUAUUGACUGUAGGCAGGGAAUUUUUUUUAAUUGAGUGUAAGAGGGUUUAGAUUUGGGUAUUUAGCGUUAGGUAGGUCAUUGACUUAAUUUUUUUAAUUAUUACAUAACUUUGUUAAUCGCUUUAAUUAUGAAAUCCCUUUAAUUAUUAAAUUAGUUGUUCAAUUAAAUGUAUAUUCUUUAGUUGAAGCUGUAAAUCAUGACAGGUUUUAUUAUCAUAAUAAUUAAUUUACUUUUCUAAACCAAUUUCAC